Molecule: long non-coding RNA, 1037 nt
Organism: Oreochromis aureus
Lineage: Eukaryota; Metazoa; Chordata; Actinopteri; Cichliformes; Cichlidae
Source: Ensembl
UUUGAAAGAUUUUUUUCGUGUGUUUCUGGGUUAGCUCUUUGUCUGGAUUUCGGCACUGUGCUAAAGCUAGCUAGCGGAUAUUGAGCAUAGCUAAGCCUCUUUGGCCCUCGUUUGACAUUGACUUUGAAAGGAAUUUUCUAUGUUUGGACGCUAAUAUGUACAAAAUGACUGUGGUUAGACGCUGAUCGGCUAAUUUAAGCGUAUCUGCGUCCCUCUGCUUUGAAAUGUAGGUUUGAAAGAGAUUUUUUCGUGUGUUUCUGGGUGAGCUCUUUCUCUGGAUUUCGGCACUGUGCUAAAGCUAGCUAGCGGAUAUUGAGCAUAGCUAAGCCUCUUUGGCCCUCGUUUGACAUUGACUUUGAAAGGAAUUUUCUAUGUUUGGACGCUAAUAUGUACAAAAUGACUGUGGUUAGACGCUGAUCGGCUAAUUUAAGCGUAUCUGCGUCCCUCUGCUUUGAAAUGUAGGUUUGAAAGGGAUUUUUUCGUGUGUUUCUGGGUUAGCUCUUUGUCUGGAUUUCGGCACUGUGCUAAAGCUAGCUAGCGGAUAUUGAGCAUAGCUAAGCCUCUUUGGCCCUCGUUUGACAUUGACUUUGAAAGGAAUUUUCUAUGUUUGGACGCUAAUAUGUACAAAAUGACUGUGGUUAGACGCUGAUCGGCUAAUUUAAGCGUAUCUGCGUCCCUCUGCUUUGAAAUGUAGGUUUGAAAGAGAUUUUUUCGUGUGUUUCUGGGUUAGCUCUUUGUCUGGAUUUCGGCACUGUGCUAAAGCUAGCUAGCGGAUAUUGAGCAUAGCUAAGCCUCUUUGGCCCUCGUUUGAAAUUGACUUUGAAAGGAAUUUUCUAUGUUUUGACGCUGAUAUGGUCGGCUGCAUCCUUCGGAGGACCCGGCCUUCGCGGUCUACGUGGGGCCGGUCCUUCGACAGCCUUUGUCGCCUGGCUGUGACGUAAUUGGCCUUCAAACGCGGCCUCUGGAGGAUGCAGCCGACGUUUUGGGACACAGCUUUCGACUGUAUUCCAGCGGUAUCGUUUGUAAUUAAAACUUUU